UUAGGCGUAAACAUAAAAAAUUCAUAACAAAAUUAUUCGCCAGAGAACUACUAGCAACAGCUUAAAACUCAAAGGACUUGGCGGUGCUUCACAACCAU
RNAcentral lists this ribosomal RNA (98 nucleotides) under vertebrate environmental sample. RNAcentral describes it as "partial 12S ribosomal RNA". Lineage: Eukaryota; Metazoa; Chordata. The record is from RNAcentral.